GGGCUUAUUGCUCAGUGGUAGAGUGCAUGCCUAGCAUGCAUAAGUUCUUGGGUUCAAUCCCUAGUACCGCCA
RNAcentral lists this transfer RNA (72 nucleotides) under Camelus bactrianus (Bactrian camel). It matches the Rfam family "tRNA". Rfam says of the family: Transfer RNA (tRNA) molecules are approximately 80 nucleotides in length. Their secondary structure includes four short double-helical elements and three loops (D, anti-codon, and T loops). Further hydrogen bonds mediate the characteristic L-shaped molecular structure. tRNAs have two regions of fundamental functional importance: the anti-codon, which is responsible for specific mRNA codon recognition, and the 3' end, to which the tRNAs corresponding amino acid is attached (by aminoacyl-tRNA synthetases). tRNAs cope with the degeneracy of the genetic code in two manners: having more than one tRNA (with a specific anti-codon) for a particular amino acid; and 'wobble' base-pairing, i.e. permitting non-standard base-pairing at the 3rd anti-codon position. RNAcentral also lists the same sequence under 3 other names. Lineage: Eukaryota; Metazoa; Chordata; Mammalia; Artiodactyla; Camelidae. The record is from Rfam by way of RNAcentral.